UGAUUAUAUUUUAUUUAUUAAUUUUUUUUUUGUUUAUAUAGAUUAUUAAAAAUAAUUAUAAAAAAGUAUGUUUAAGUAUUUUAUAAAGAAAAAAUAAUUUUAAUUAUAGUGUAAUAGUAUUGUGAAAGAAAAUUGAAAUAAUUUGAAAAAUUAAUAUUUUAAAAGAAAAUUUAAUUUAUUGUACCUUGUGUAUCAGGGUUUAUCUAAUAAAAAUUAAUUAUUUAAUUUUCUCGAUUUUAAAAGAGUUAAUAUAUUAUAAAAGUUAAUGUGAUAAAAUUAUUUUUAAUAAUAUAUUAGAAAUGAAAUGUUAUUCGUUUUUAAAGGUAUCUAGUUCUUUAAGAAAUAAAUUUAAUUUAGAAAUUUUAUAUUAUUUAAUUAAAUAUAUUAAUUAAAUAAUUAUUUAAUUUUAAUAUUUUAUGGGAUAAGCUAUAAAAUAAAUUUUUAAAAAUUAAUAAAUAAUUUAAUAAAUAUAAGCUUAGAAAUAGCUACUAUUAAUAAAAUUGUUAUAAUUUAUUUUAUAAUAGAUAUUAUUUAUUAAAUUUUAAAUAUGUAUUAAAGUAUUUAUUUUAAUAAUAAAAAUAAAAUAAUAAUGAUAAAAUUAGUAUAUUAUUUUGUAUAAAUAUAAUAGAUUGAAAAGUUUUUAUAAAGAACUCGGCAAAAAUAAUGUUCGCCUGUUUAACAAAAACAUGUCUUUUUGAAUUUUUUUUAAAGUCUAACCUGCCCACUGAAUUAUUUUUAAAUGGCCGCAGUAUACUAACUGUGCAAAGGUAGCAUAAUCAUUAGUCUUUUAAUUGAAGGCUGGUAUGAAUGGUUGGACGAGAUAUUAACUGUUUCAUAAAAAUUUAUAGUAGAAUUUUAUUUUUUAGUCAAAAAGCUAAAAUAAAAUUAAAAGACGAGAAGACCCUAUAAAUCUUUAUAUAUAAAUUAUUAGAAUUUUGUAGAUUUUUUUUAUUAUAAUAAUUGAUUAUAUUUUAUUGGGGUGAUAUUAAAAUUUAAUAAACUUUUAAUUAUUAAAAUCAUUAAUUUAUGAUUAAUUGAUCCGUUAAUAACGAUUAAAAAAAUAAGUUACUUUAGGGAUAACAGCGUAAUUUUUUUGGAGAGUUCAUAUCGAUAAAAAAGAUUGCGACCUCGAUGUUGGAUUAAGAUAUAAUUUUAGGUGUAGCCGCUUAAAUUUUAAGUCUGUUCGACUUUUAAAUUCUUACAUGAUCUGAGUUCAAACCGGCGUAAGCCAGGUUGGUUUCUAUCUUUAAUAAAGAAAAAUAUUUCAGUACGAAAGGACCUAAUAUUUGAUAAAUUAUUAUUUUUAUAUUGAAUAUAAUUAAUAUA
RNAcentral lists this ribosomal RNA (1326 nucleotides) under Oxysarcodexia thornax. RNAcentral describes it as "16S ribosomal RNA". The stretch from base 1076 to 1235 matches the Rfam family "Archaeal large subunit ribosomal RNA", at positions 2542 to 2701 of the family's 2987-position model. Lineage: Eukaryota; Metazoa; Arthropoda; Insecta; Diptera; Sarcophagidae. The record is from RNAcentral.